Molecule: ribosomal RNA, 426 nt
Filed under: uncultured bacterium
Lineage: Bacteria
Description: bacterial SSU rRNA
Rfam family: Bacterial small subunit ribosomal RNA
Source: RNAcentral
UGGGGAAUCUUGCGCAAUGGGCGAAAGCCUGACGCAGCAACGCCGCGUGCGGGAUGAAGGCCCUCGGGUUGUAAACCGCUUUCAGUGGGGACGAACCAAGACGGUACCCACAGAAGAAGCCCCGGCCAACUACGUGCCAGCAGCCGCGGUAACACGUAGGGGGCAAGCGUUGUCCGGAUUUAUUGGGCGUAAAGAGCUCGUAGGCGGUUCGAUAAGUCGGGUGUGAAACCUCCAGGCUCAACCUGGAGACGCCACCCGAUACUGUCGUGACUAGAGUCCAGUAGGGGAGCGUGGAAUUCCUGGUGUAGCGGUGAAAUGCGCAGAUAUCAGGAGGAACACCAGCGGCGAAGGCGGCGCUCUGGGCUGGCACUGACGCUGAGGAGCGAAAGCGUGGGGAGCGAACAGGAUUAGAUACCCCCGUAGUCC